This 320-nucleotide ribosomal RNA is filed under the name uncultured eukaryote. RNAcentral's name for it is "partial 18S ribosomal RNA". It matches the Rfam family "Eukaryotic small subunit ribosomal RNA", at positions 1470 to 1796 of the family's 1831-position model. The record is from RNAcentral.
CCCCUAGAUGUUCUGGGCCGCACGCGCGCUACACUGAACAGUUCAACAAGUCUUAACCUUGGCCGAUAGGUCUGGGUAAUCUUUGAACGCUGUUCGUGAUUGGGAUAGACCUUUGCAAUUAUGGGUCUUCAACGAGGAAUUCCUAGUAAACGCAAGUCAUCAGCUUGCAUUGAUUACGUCCCUGCCCUUUGUACACACCGCCCGUCGCACCUACCGAUUGAAUGGUCCGGUGAAAUCUCGGGACGGCGGCUUGGUCGCUUGCGUCCGACUGCUGAAACUUGAUUAAACCAUAUCAUUGAGAGGAAGGUGAAGUCGUAACA